AAAAUAAGGUUAUCAUUCGUCAACCCUAAACGACAUGGUUAAUCAAUCAACAUACAGAGUGCACAACAAUCUCAUAAUUUACAUUUAAGUAACUAUAUACACAUGCAAGAGACCUUGACUAUUAGAGGAGUGACUCUAGGCGUGGGUGGCACUACAGGAUGCCAUGGUACGUACCAAAUGGACACUUCAAUCUAGGUCCCAACUACCUUAGAAUCUGAAAACAUGAAGUUAAAAAGAGUGAGUAUAAACCUAGUGAGUAAACAUAGGAAGGGAACAAGCAAACGAUAUGGAGAGUUUUUCAAAAACAUGAUGCACUAGUUUAAAAGCAAUGCAAAUUUGUAUAUUAUGAACAAAACUCGAUGCCGUGCUAUUUUUCAGCUUAUUUUAAAACAUUUAGGGAGUUCAACUUUCAACAUUCAAUGCAAUCACAUAAUAUUUUCUCUAACAUUUCUAUGGUAUGUGUUAACAUGUAUACAACCACCGAUCAUCAGCUCUUGUGCACUCUCACAUCACACAUAGCUAGAAUCAUCAUCCUCCGGUCAUCAGCUCAUGGGCACUCUCACAUCGCACAUAGCUGGAAUCAUCACCCAUCGGUCAUCAGCUCAUGUCCAUUCCCACACUGCACAUAUGGAAUCACCUGUCAUCAUCAGCAUGUGCACUCCAACACCGCACAUGCGCGGUUACAAUUAUCAUUCAACAUUACAUUUCAAUGCAUGGCACACGUAACAACAUGUAACAAGAAUCUUUGCAUAAUAAUACAUCACAUGCCACAAAUCAAUUGGCAAUUCAACAUAAUAUUUCAAAUAUGUAAUUCAUCACAUUAUACAUAUUGCAUAAUAUCGGAACACAUGAGUUAAUCACAUUGCACAAUUUCACAACGUAAAGACAUUUCAUCAAGGGCUUGUUCCCAAGCACAUUUUAAAGUAAAGAAAAAUAAAGUUUUCAAAUGAUUCAUUCAAACACAUGUGCAUUUAUCCCAAAACAUUUAUAAAUGCAAGUUCACUCACCUUAACAAUGCCACCUAACAAAAUCUUAAUCUAGGUAGUCCCGAAAUACCAUUAAAACCUAUAAUUGCCAAUAAACAAUAAUAGCUUCAAAUAUAUCAUAAAUUCAAACUUAAUAAUUCUAAUAAGCAUACGCUUGAUAAACUACAUUCUAGCCUAAUUUUUAACCAAGAAUUCUAGUCUAAUUCUCAAACCCAUCAUAUCAACUAUUCCAAUUUAAAGGUUCUUUACCUUGGUGAGCUUGGAGGCAUAAGGAUUAACAAAAACCUAAUAUUUCCAAGCAAAAGAAUUUGAAGAAAUUAAGAAAUAAAAUUUGAAAAUAUAACCCAUAAAUUCAUAAAUUCAUAAAUUCUAAGAGUUGAAAAUAUAUACCUUUUAGCCUUAAAAAUGGAAAUUUGAAGUUGAAAAUUCAAGUGUUGGUGAUGGUGGAGUAGAAAUAAAAAAUAAAGGAAAGAAAGAGAGAUUUUUCCUUCUCUCUCCUAGGGUUUAGUUGUGUUGGAAAAUGGAGUUAGAAGCUGCAGGUUUGGUGCCCAAGAAGUUAGGAGAAGAAAGAAGUAAGAAAAGAAAUGAAAUGAAAGAAAGGAAGGAAAAGAAAAUGGAAAAGGCUUGAUUUUUAUGGUGGAGGAUGAAAA
This 1636-nucleotide long non-coding RNA is filed under the name Theobroma cacao (cacao). Its description in RNAcentral is "long non-coding RNA (TCAC_LNC000303)". Lineage: Eukaryota; Viridiplantae; Streptophyta; Magnoliopsida; Malvales; Malvaceae. The record is from RNAcentral.